Molecule: long non-coding RNA, 797 nt
Organism: Dreissena polymorpha
Lineage: Eukaryota; Metazoa; Mollusca; Bivalvia; Myida; Dreissenidae
Exons: 9
Source: RefSeq, a predicted model, not a curated record
CAGGUAGAGGAAUGUCUGCGACUAAGCCAAGGGCCACUUCAUAAGGGUUAUUGAUGGCAAAACAGGUAGAGGAAUGUCUGCGACUAAGCCGAGGGCCACUGCAUAAGGGUUAUUGAUGGCAAAACAGGUUGGAGACUACAUGAGAUUUUGACAGAUGGCGGGAAACCCUCAUCAACUGGAGAUCAGCCGGUAGAGGAAUGUCUGCGACUAAGCCGAGGGUCACUGCAUAAGGGUUAUUGAUGGCAAAACAGGUAGAGGAAUGUCUGCGACUAAGCCGAGGGCCACUGCAUAAGGGUUAUUGAUGGCAAAACAGGUAGAGGAAUGUCUGCGACUAAGCCGAGGGCCACUGCAUAAGGGUUAUUGAUGGCAAAACAGGUAGAGGAAUGUCUGCGACUAAGCCGAGGGCCACUGCAUAAGGGUUAUUGAUGGCAAAACAGGUAGAGGAAUGUCUGCGACUAAGCCGAGGGCCACUGCAUAAGGGUUAUUGAUGGCAAAACAGGUAGAGGAAUGUCUGCGACUAAGCCGAGGGCCACUGCAUAAGGGUUAUUGAUGGCAAAACAGGUAAUAAUACUAAAUUAUUAUCAUGUACACAAGCAAAUAAGCAUAUUAAUGAUGCUUAAGGUGUGAAAUACUGCCAUAAUCAGGUUUGUGGUCACUCAAACCCUUGCCGUUGUGCAAUUCCCCGUUCAGUUUGAAUCUAUAGUUCCGCAUCCCGACACGUAAAGCUCGUGCUUUGCUGGCAGCGGAAGUUGGCACUUAACAGGUUUAUCCUUGUUCCUGAGCAUGUAUGCAGUACA